UUAAGUGACGAUAGCCUAGGAGAUACACCUGUUCCCAUGCCGAACACAGAAGUUAAGCCCUAGUACGCCUGAUGUAGUUGGGGUUGCCCCCUGUUAGAUACGGUAGUCGCUUAGC
Molecule: ribosomal RNA, 115 nt
Filed under: Streptococcus salivarius
Lineage: Bacteria; Bacillati; Bacillota; Bacilli; Lactobacillales; Streptococcaceae
Also listed under: 2 other names
Source: RNAcentral